UGACUAAAUCAGGAGGCCUGAAUAGGCCUGAUGACCGUGUCCAUUAGAGAAAGACCCACUAAAAUUCCAAUAUUGCGAGACUUCUUGGCUAACAUCUUAGACUAACCCACUUGCAUAACCCCACUAACUACUUUAUAUAAUCUGGCACUUUAUUGAACCUUUUUCUUCCAGAAAUCAUAUGCGCAAACAAAACCUGUAGAUCAUAAUUUAAUCCCCUAACAUAGAGUCGAAUCCUCUCUUUCUCAGUAGUCAACUACUACAGCCAACUGGUUGCAAAUUUUUACCCUAGCAUCAAUCGCGUAUAUGCCCAACGAGUAGUGAUGGAUGUGCAGCUUUGCCAAUUGUACGCAACUUUGCCAAUUAUUAAAGGGUUUAUUCUUCGCUAUUGUGGCUUCUUCCUUGGGUUACUGCAGAUUUGCCUUAAUCCCUGUUCAUCUCUGUCGAACGAGAAUUCGAGGUGCCUUUGGCCGUGUGCUCAUCAUGCUUUGCCUCCGAGCCACAUCCCGCACCUUUUGAGGUGCCUAGAUACCAGCCUAAAUGCAAAAGAUGACAUAGCCAGGUUUGUAGGGUCAGUUUUAGAUGUUUACUGGGAGCUUCCACCUGUGGUUGGUCCUUCAUUAACUCAUCAGACGAGAUAUGAUCCGGCUCGUGCAUCAAGUCCUAUUGUUGAUGAUGACAGUGGUAUGCAAAGAGGUUUCUGCAACCCGAUGUUGGAGUUGCGCACUUCAAUGCAGAGAGGGAUACGAAAGAGAAAUCGGGCUGGUGCAGUGAUCCACAUUUGCCUUCUUAUGCAGACUUGGCGAUGUGUUUGGCAUAUGAUUCAGGUAGUUUUUACACUUGAUAUCACUUCCUCUCCUCUCAAUUUAUGUUUCUGUAAUGUUAAGCUAAUGCUUGUGCUUUGAUUUGAUAUUUGGUUAUAGAAUGAUAUGGUGCAUGGAUGGGGAUUGGAUUUUGCAUUAAGAAGAUGUGUAGAGAUUUCUGAAGAUUGAAGUUACAAGUGAAGAUGCAAGUUUAGAAAAUACACAAACUCAUUAUUAUUGUACUAAGAACGUUACGUAAAACUUGACAUCAUAUUCUAGCUUGGGAUGUUAAUUGGUUAAGUUUUUUUGUUUAGCAAAUAUCAAAACUAUCAACAUCAUAUUCUAGCUCGGGAUAUUAAUCGGUUAAGUUUUUUUUGGUUUAGCAAA
Molecule: RNA transcript, 1187 nt
Organism: Capsicum annuum
Lineage: Eukaryota; Viridiplantae; Streptophyta; Magnoliopsida; Solanales; Solanaceae
Exons: 8
Source: RefSeq, a predicted model, not a curated record